CCUUAUUUAGCCUCAGUGGGAGAGGGUGCAGUCAGUUCUGAUGUGACUUGAUGUGCCAUGGCAGUGUGUGAAUCCAUGGACAUCAUGCCAGGGAACAUGGCAGCAGACAGGCAGGAAUGUACUGGAGAAGUAGAUGAGAGCUCACACUCUGAUCCAGCAUGAAGCAGAGAGAGAGAGAGACUGGGCCAGGACCAUCUGCCCAGCAUGGGAUCACCUGCAGUGGGCUGGACCUUCCCACAUCCAUCUAAUCAAGACAAUACCACCAACAGACUUGCCUACUGGCAAAUCUAAUGAAGGCAUUUUUUUUCUCAGCUAAGAUUCCCUUUUCUCAGAUGACUGUAUCUUGCAUCGAGCUGACAAGGAAACAAAAAACCAAUCAAAACAAAGCAAAACGAAAUGGGGCAUCUUUAUUUCAUAGAUUGGGUUUGGAUUUAAAUUCAUACUAUUUCUCAGUGUUCAUACUAUUUCUCAGAAGGCAAAACUUUACCACUAGAAAGCAAACUAUUGUCAAGUACUACAGUAUCAUCUUUGGGGUUUUGUGGGGAUUUUUCAAACGGUAAAAGGGAAAGCAAUCAGCCACAUUCAGAAGUCUGAAUCAAUGUUUCUUUACUAGCAACAAACCAGACUAGACCUCCUUAAAUAAACCCCCAAGGAAAACAGCUGCCUUCUUGGUAACACAGAGUGGCUUCCUCACUUUUAAU
Molecule: long non-coding RNA, 701 nt
Filed under: Rattus norvegicus (Norway rat)
Lineage: Eukaryota; Metazoa; Chordata; Mammalia; Rodentia; Muridae
Description: long non-coding RNA NONRATT024238
Source: RNAcentral